This 447-nucleotide long non-coding RNA is filed under the name Mus musculus (house mouse). RNAcentral's name for it is "predicted gene, 46440". The record is from RNAcentral. Lineage: Eukaryota; Metazoa; Chordata; Mammalia; Rodentia; Muridae.
ACAAUUCUCUGCGAGCGAGUUUCACAAAGCCGUGAUGCUUCCAGGAAAAAUAAAAGGAGUGGGACCAUGGAGAUGGCUCAGCAGUCAACAUGCCUGCUACAUAAGUAUGAAGACCGGAGUUUGGCUACUUAGAUGCUUGUAAAUGCAGAGUGGCCAGCUUGUCAUCUAAGCUUGGAAGAUGAAGACAGGGAAAUCCCUAGAGCAAAUGGGCUGGGAAGGCUAGCUCUGAGUUUGACAGAGAGAUCCUGCCUCAAUGAAUAAGGUAGAAGAGUCAUCAAAGAGGAUUCUCAACAUCAAAGUUGGUCCUCCACAGGGACAAUGUACAUGCCAGCCUGAAUGAACACACACAUCCAUACACAUGCGAGUAUGUAUACAGAUGAGAACACUACACACACAGCCACAAGAAAACAAGUUCAAUAAAGGACUUUAGCAGCCACUGUAAAUAAA